Molecule: unclassified non-coding RNA, 307 nt
Filed under: uncultured fungus
Lineage: Eukaryota; Fungi
Description: partial contains small subunit ribosomal RNA, internal transcribed spacer 1, and 5.8S ribosomal RNA
Rfam family: Eukaryotic small subunit ribosomal RNA (bases 1-74)
Source: RNAcentral
UCAAACUUGGGUCAUUUAGAGGAAGUAAAAGUCGUAACAAGGUCUCCGUUGGUGAACCAGCGGAGGGAUCAUUACUGAGUUUUAUACUCAAUCACCUCUGUGAAUUUAUCUGUUGCUUUGGCAGGGAGCUAGCUUCUAGAAGGCUGCUAAUUGUCAGGGGAUAGCCAAUUUUAGCUGUCUGCCUUGUGCCCUGCCGAAGGCGUUUUAAAUCAAAUUUUUAGUGACUUAUCUGAUAAUGUUAUCAUAAAUAUAAUAAUAAACUUUCAACAAUGGAUCUCUUGGUUCUGGCAUCGAUGAAGAACGCAGC